ACAUAUUAUCGCCAAACCUGAUGUGAGUCAGGGACGGAAAACCUACAGCUGUGCAUUAGUGGCAUCAGGGCUGGGCUGCAUGA
RNAcentral lists this non-coding RNA (83 nucleotides) under Methylophaga thalassica MP. RNAcentral describes it as "Methylophaga aminisulfidivorans MP c-di-GMP-I riboswitch aptamer". It matches the Rfam family "c-di-GMP-I riboswitch aptamer". Rfam says of the family: GEMM was predicted in a large-scale screen for bacterial structured RNA regulatory elements. Genes associated with GEMM are involved in a diverse array of functions, including chemotaxis regulation, signal transduction, secretion and chitin. The record is from Rfam by way of RNAcentral. Lineage: Bacteria; Pseudomonadati; Pseudomonadota; Gammaproteobacteria; Thiotrichales; Piscirickettsiaceae.